GGAGUUUCCAUCACUCCAUUUCCCGCUUCAUCAUUCAUCAGAGAAAAAAAGAUAUUCGAAGUGGGUAUGAAUUCUGAAGGGAAAAAACUUUAAUUUCCAAUUUUUGUUCAAAAUAAACAAAUUUUUUCCUUUUAUUAUCAAUUCAUUUUUUAUUAUUUUUUUAAAUUUGCUUUUGUAGCGAGGAUUAAGGUGCAUGAAUUGAGGGAGAAGAGCAAGGUGGAUUUAUUGGCCCAGCUGAAGGAUUUGAAGGCGGAGCUGUGGAACUGCUUCGGGUGGCGAAGGCGACCCGUGGCGUCGCCAACAAACUAUCCAAAAUCAAAGUGGUGAGGCUGUCCAUUGCCCAGGUGCUGACCGUGAUUUCUCAAACGCAAAAGGCCGCAUUCAGACAAGGUUAGAAGAAUAAAAAGUACUUGCCUCUUGAUCUCCGCCAGAAGAAGACUCUUGCCAUUCGCAGGCGCCUUACCAAGCACCAGGUAUACAUUGCGAAUAUAUACGAAUUUAUCUUUUUAUUAUAAAUAAUUGGUUGAGUUUAUUGGUUCUGUUUUCAUUUUGCUGUGAUCAAUUGUUGGUUCAACAUGUUAGAUUACAUUACGAAUUUUUCGUGACUAAUUGAGUUGUUUGUUGUGGAUUUGUAUUCAUGAUCGGUUCUUGGAAAUUUUAAGUACUUAGUCUUGCAUAAUUAGGAUUUUUUAGGAUGAUAUUUGUGCUUAUAUCUUCUGGUUGUUUCAUUUCUGACUUAAUGAAAUGGAUAGUUGGUAAAUAUGACUUUUAAUAACGGCCAAACAUGCUCUAAUUGAUUUGUUUUGACGAAGAAUUGAAAUGACAUACUGUUGUGUAUGUGACUCAUAUAGAGUGGAACACAGGUUCCUUGGAUCAAAUAGGUCGAUAUCGAAACAAAGCAGAGCGUAGCGCACCGAACUGAACAGAUCGAAGCAACGGCAUCGACCUUGCUCGGGUUUAAUUGUUAGGGACGUUGAAUGGGUUGGUGGUGUGGUGACAACGCCUCACGGUACGGUACAUGAGUAUUUUUUUGUACGGAUCUUAAAAUCUUAUAUGGGCAUAAACUAGGAUUAGUAUAAAUAAUAUAUUGUAAUCCUAUUUUUCACUACUGAAUAAAAUUAUCUCUGCUUCGCUCUUGUAGACGUAGGCACACUGCCGAACCACGUAAAUUCUUGUGUUAAUUUCUCUAUUCCAUCUCUUUAUUAUUACGCAUAAAAUCCAACACAUACAUUAAGCAACAAGUAGGUUUUUUGGUAAUUGGUCGAUUGUGCUGGUUCUUGGGUUCAAGUAUGAAUUUUACAUGAUUUCUUGAGUUGAUGUGGGAGACAUUUGAGUGCUAUUAUGGAAAAAUGCAUAGUCGAGAAAUGAAGCUUAUUUUCUGCUGUUUGUUUCAAUUUACGGCCUUUUGUUGUUCUAAGUUGUCGUCUAAAUUAUUACUCCACGAACCCUAAUUAUGACCUUUAUCCUCAUCUAAUACUUUUAUAAUGCUUUGCUUAUUAGCAUGGCUUUAUACUUAACCAGACGUGGUCUAGAAAUUGUUGGCGUCGCAUGCUUUAGCCUUUCCUACUUGUUAACUUGAGGUUGUUUUUCAGGCAUCUCUGAAGACGGGAAAGGAGAAAGGAAGAGAGAUGUACUUAUUAAUAAUGAGAAAGUACACAAUUAAAGUUUGAGUUCUC
Molecule: long non-coding RNA, 1676 nt
Filed under: Olea europaea subsp. europaea
Lineage: Eukaryota; Viridiplantae; Streptophyta; Magnoliopsida; Lamiales; Oleaceae
Source: RNAcentral